GACGGAGGGGGCUAGCGUUGUUCGGAAUGACUGGGCGUAAAGGGCGCGUAGGCGGUUUUUUAAGUGAGGCGUGAAAGCCCUGGGCUUAACCCAGGAGGUGCGUUUCAUACUGGAAAGCUUGAGUGCGAGAGAGGAAAGUGGAAUUCCUAGUGUAGAGGUGAAAUUCGUAGAUAUUAGGAAGAACACCAGUGGCGAAGGCGACUUUCUAGCUCGCAACUGACGCUGAGGCGCGAAAGCGUGGGGAGCAAACAGG
Molecule: ribosomal RNA, 253 nt
Filed under: uncultured bacterium
Lineage: Bacteria
Description: partial 16S ribosomal RNA
Rfam family: Bacterial small subunit ribosomal RNA
Source: RNAcentral